UAUAUAUAUAUAUAUAUAUAUAUAUAUAUAUAUAUAUAUUGUAUUGUGAUUGUAUGAUGUAUUGAAGUAAUUAUUUCCCAUUUAGAAAAAAAAUAGUUAAUAAUCAAGAGAGGUCUGGUUUCGUAACAAAGAUUUACCAAAUUCAUCAACGUAAUAUUUCUGCUUUACAUCUGACUACAAUGAUUAUUUUUAUUGGCAUUUAGCACCAACAAUGGCAAAAAAUUGGCCUUACGUAAAUCAUUCAUUUAGAGAAACAACUUUAAGGUUUUUUAUAGAUUAUUGCUUUGCUAAAUAAUAAAAUCUUACCCAAACACUUAUAUUAUUGUUUAUAUAUUUAUAUAUUAUGGUAUAUUUAUUUUUAUUUUAAAUUUCUAGUUGACUCGAUAU
This is a non-coding RNA of Hydra vulgaris (swiftwater hydra), 387 nucleotides long. Lineage: Eukaryota; Metazoa; Cnidaria; Hydrozoa; Anthoathecata; Hydridae. The record is from RefSeq and is a predicted model, not a curated record.